RNAcentral lists this ribosomal RNA (532 nucleotides) under Panaeolus desertorum. RNAcentral describes it as "partial 28S ribosomal RNA". It matches the Rfam family "Eukaryotic large subunit ribosomal RNA", at positions 77 to 609 of the family's 3401-position model. Lineage: Eukaryota; Fungi; Basidiomycota; Agaricomycetes; Agaricales. The record is from RNAcentral.
CCCCUAGUAACUGCGAGUGAAGCGGGAAAAGCUCAAAUUUAAAAUCUGGCGGUCCUUGGCCGUCCGAGUUGUAAUCUAGAGAAGUGUUACCCGCGCUGGACCAUGUACAAGUCUCCUGGAAUGGAGCGUCAUAGAGGGUGAGAAUCCCGUCUCUGACAUGGACUACCAGGGCUUUGUGGUAUGCUCUCAAAGAGUCGAGUUGUUUGGGAAUGCAGCUCAAAAUGGGUGGUAAAUUCCAUCUAAAGCUAAAUAUUGGCGAGAGACCGAUAGCGAACAAGUACCGUAAGGGAAAGAUGAAAAGAACUUUGGAAAGAGAGUUAAACAGUACGUGAAAUUGCUGAAAGGGAAACGCUUGAAGUCAGUCGCGUCGGCUGGGGAUCAGCUUCGCAUUUGCGUGGUGUACUUCCCAGUUGACGGGUCAGCAUCAAUUUUGACCGCUGGAAAAAGGUUUGGGGAAUGUGGCAGCUUCGGCUGUGUUAUAGCCCCUUGUCACAUACAGCGGUUGGGAUUGAGGAACUCAGCAGGGAAAAAA